Molecule: ribosomal RNA, 492 nt
Filed under: uncultured bacterium
Lineage: Bacteria
Description: partial 16S ribosomal RNA
Rfam family: Bacterial small subunit ribosomal RNA
Source: RNAcentral
AGUGAACGCUGGCGGUAGGCCUAACACAUGCAAGUCGAACGGCAGCACAGUAAGCGCUUGCUCUUACGGGUGGCGAGUGGCGGACGGGUGAGGAAUACAUCGGAAUCUACUUUUUCGUGGGGGAUAACGUAGGGAAACUUACGCUAAUACCGCAUACGAUCUACGGGUGAAAGCAGGGGAUCUUCGGACCUUUCGCGAUUGAAUGAGCCGAUGUCGGAUUAGCUAGUUGGCGGGGUAAAGGCCCACCAAGGCGACGAUCCGUAGCUGGUCUGAGAGGAUGAUCAGCCACACUGGAACUGAGACACGGUCCAGACUCCUACGGGAGGCAGCAGUGGGGAAUAUUGGACAAUGGGCGCAAGCCUGAUCCAGCCAUACCGCGUGGGUGAAGAAGGCCUUCGGGUUGUAAAGCCCUUUUGUUGGGAAAGAAAAGCAGCAGGUUAAUACCCCGCUGUUCUGACGGUACCCAAAGAAUAAGCACCGGCUAACUUCGUG